Molecule: long non-coding RNA, 735 nt
Organism: Amphibalanus amphitrite
Lineage: Eukaryota; Metazoa; Arthropoda; Thecostraca; Balanomorpha; Balanidae
Exons: 3
Source: RefSeq, a predicted model, not a curated record
GGAAGGUCACCGGCCUAAGUUUUUCCCAAGGUGCCUCAGAAUAUACCUUGUGCGCAUUAUUGUAAUUUUGCCAAAACAGCUUUUGCUCCAUUUAGUAUUAACUAUGCAUAUGCAUGCCCUUAUUAAAAGGCAACACUAGGUUUCACGUUGAAGAUAAAUCAUUCAGUUGUUGGCCGAUACUAACGUAACUGCCAGAUAUAAACUAAUCCAGUGAUGGGUAAAGGCGAGGGAGGUGGUAUUGGAUGCCUCUUUUGGGGUCUAAUAUGGCUUCUGAUCUUAAUAUGGAUCAGUUUCUUCGUGGCGUGUUUCUGUGCGGGGUGGUAUAUUCUACUGUCGCCGAUUUCCGUCUGCAUUGAACCUCUAUCGGCUAUAACGGAUAUUCUUUUAGCUGGUCUUCAACUACCCAAGACAUGUGCUCAAAACAUGAUGGCCGGGAAGUCGCUAUUCUAACGAAGUCAAAAGGUUACGCCAACGGAUGUGCUGUCGUCAUGUAGAGCCACCAGCAUCCAUCAUUCAGCGCUGUUCUGCCCCGACGACCUGGACUUCUGUAACGGUCACAGCACACGGCACCCGAGAUCGGAUCCACUAAUCAGGCAACCUGGUGUAUGGAGAGUGCAAGUUUUGUGUAAAUAAGUUGUGCGAGUGUUGUUCAUUGUUAUAUUUUUGAGCAGCUGUGAUAAUGUCACACAUGCAGUCGGUUACUGAAGUAAUAUACAUGUAAACAUGUGCCCAAAA